GCUUGCUUCUCUUGAGAGCGGCGGACGGGUGAGUAAUGCCUAGGAAUCUGCCUGGUAGUGGGGGAUAACGUUCGGAAACGGACGCUAAUACCGCAUACGUCCUACGGGAGAAAGCAGGGGACCUUCGGGCCUUGCGCUAUCAGAUGAGCCUAGGUCGGAUUAGCUAGUUGGUGAGGUAAUGGCUCACCAAGGCGACGAUCCGUAACUGGUCUGAGAGGAUGAUCAGUCACACUGGAACUGAGACACGGUCCAGACUCCUACGGGAG
RNAcentral lists this ribosomal RNA (266 nucleotides) under Pseudomonas sp. RNAcentral describes it as "partial 16S ribosomal RNA". It matches the Rfam family "Bacterial small subunit ribosomal RNA", at positions 78 to 347 of the family's 1533-position model. Lineage: Bacteria; Pseudomonadati; Pseudomonadota; Gammaproteobacteria; Pseudomonadales; Pseudomonadaceae. The record is from RNAcentral.